RNAcentral lists this ribosomal RNA (468 nucleotides) under uncultured bacterium. Its description in RNAcentral is "partial 16S ribosomal RNA". It matches the Rfam family "Bacterial small subunit ribosomal RNA", at positions 28 to 507 of the family's 1533-position model. The record is from RNAcentral.
GACGAACGCUGGCGGCGUGCUUAACACAUGCAAGUCGAACGGAAAGGCCCUGCUUUUGUGGGGUGCUCGAGUGGCGAACGGGUGAGUAACACGUGAGUAACCUGCCCUUGACUUUGGGAUAACUUCAGGAAACUGGGGCUAAUACCGGAUAGGAGCUCCUGCUGCAUGGUGGGGGUUGGAAAGUUUCGGCGGUUGGGGAUGGACUCGCGGCUUAUCAGCUUGUUGGUGGGGUAGUGGCUUACCAAGGCUUUGACGGGUAGCCGGCCUGAGAGGGUGACCGGCCACAUUGGGACUGAGAUACGGCCCAGACUCCUACGGGAGGCAGCAGUGGGGAAUAUUGCACAAUGGGAGGAAGCCUGAUGCAGCAACGCCGCGUGCGGGAUGACGGCCUUCGGGUUGUAAACCGAUUUCGCCUGUGACGAAGCGUGAGUGACGGUAAUGGGUAAAGAAGCACCGGCUAACUACGUG